Molecule: ribosomal RNA, 253 nt
Filed under: uncultured bacterium
Lineage: Bacteria
Description: partial 16S ribosomal RNA
Rfam family: Bacterial small subunit ribosomal RNA
Source: RNAcentral
UACAGAGGUCCCAAGCGUUGUUCGGAUUCAUUGGGCGUAAAGGGUGCGUAGGCGGUGCCGCAAGUCAGAUGUGAAAUCUCGGGGCUUAACCCCGAAACUGCAUUUGAUACUGCGGUGCUCGAGGACUGGAGAGGAGACUGGAAUUCACGGUGUAGCAGUGAGAUGCGUAGAUAUCGUGAGGAAGGCCAGUGGCGAAGGCGAGUCUCUGGACAGUUCCUGACGCUGAGGCACGAAGGCCAGGGGAGCAAACGGG